RNAcentral lists this unclassified non-coding RNA (431 nucleotides) under Chloropyron molle subsp. hispidum. Its description in RNAcentral is "partial external transcribed spacer". Lineage: Eukaryota; Viridiplantae; Streptophyta; Magnoliopsida; Lamiales; Orobanchaceae. The record is from RNAcentral.
AUUGGCUUGUGUUGGCGCGUUGGAUCCCUGCCUAAGCAGCGACAACGUCCCAUGCAAUCCUCGUCGGUUUUUGGUUCGAGCAUGUCUCGUCCGUUGUUGGUUUCUUGUGUUGAAUACCUACUGGGAAGGUAUUUCUUGGUUGCGAAUGGAAAAACUCCACCUAGUGUUGUAGUACCCCUUGGGGAUGCGGCGUUGGGUGGAACCGAAGGCACGCUUCGUGUCCCACAUCUCUUGCGCAGCCUUGUGCUCGAGUUGAUGGCCCAUGUUGUCGUGCGCGAUGUCUCGGGUAUGGAACAUUGUGCGGGCACGAGGCCUCCGGCCAGUGUCUUGUCCGAACUAUAAGCGUUCUACGCUUUGUGGGAAUGACUGUCGUUGGCGUGUUGAUCGGGUCUUUGUGACCUGGCUCAUGCGCCAGCGCUGUAUGUCGGGAA